AAGCUCGUAGUGAAUUUCGGGGUUAGUAGGUUGGUCAUGCCUCUGGUAUGUACUGGUCUCACUGAUUCCUCCUUCCUGAUGAACCGUAAUGCCAUUAAUUUGGUGUUGCGGGGAAUUUGGACUGUUACUUUGAAAAAAUUAGAGUGUUUAAAGCAAGCUAACGCUUGAAUACAUUAGCAUGGAAUAAUGAAAUAGGACGUUCGAUCCUAUUUUGUUGGUUUCUAGGAUUGACGUAAUGAUUAAUAGGGAUAGUUGGG
This 257-nucleotide ribosomal RNA is filed under the name uncultured Glomus. RNAcentral describes it as "partial 18S ribosomal RNA". It matches the Rfam family "Eukaryotic small subunit ribosomal RNA", at positions 624 to 886 of the family's 1831-position model. Lineage: Eukaryota; Fungi; Glomeromycota; Glomeromycetes; Glomerales; Glomeraceae. The record is from RNAcentral.